Molecule: ribosomal RNA, 497 nt
Filed under: uncultured bacterium
Lineage: Bacteria
Description: partial 16S ribosomal RNA
Rfam family: Bacterial small subunit ribosomal RNA
Source: RNAcentral
GACGAACGCUGGCGGCGUGCCUAAUACAUGCAAGUAGAACGCUGAAGAGAGGAGCUUGCUCUUCUUGGAUGAGUUGCGAACGGGUGAGUAACGCGUAGGUAACCUGCCUGGUAGCGGGGGAUAACUAUUGGAAACGAUAGCUAAUACCGCAUAAAAUUGAUUAUUGCAUGAUAAUUAAUUGAAAGAUGCAACUGCAUCACUACCAGAUGGACCUGCGUUGUAUUAGCUAGUUGGUGAGGUAACGGCUCACCAAGGCGACGAUACAUAGCCGACCUGAGAGGGUGAUCGGCCACACUGGGACGGGGACACGGCCCAGACUCCUACGGGGGGCAGCAGUAGGGAAUCUUCGGCAAUGGGGGGAACCCUGACCGGGCAACGCCGGGUGAGUGAAGGAGGUUGUCGGAUCGUAAAGCUCUGUUGUAAGAGAAGAACGGGUGGGAGAGUUGAAAGUGCACACUGUGACGGUAUCUUACCAGAAAGGGACGGCUAACUACGUG